AUAAGACAGAUGUGAAAUCCCCGGAGCUUAACCUGGGAACUGCGUUUGUGACUGUAGGACUUGAGUGUAGCAGAGGGGGGUGGAAUUCCACGUGUAGCAGUGAAAUGCGUAGAGAUGUGGAGGAACACCGAUGGCGAACGCAGCCCCCUGGGGUUAACACUNGACGCUCAUGCACGAUAAGCGUGGAGGAGCAAACAGUGAUUAGACUACCCUGUGUAGUCCACGCCUCUAAACGAUGCCAACUAUGUGUUCGGGGAAGGAGACUUCCUGUAGUACCGUAGCUAACGGCGUGAAGUUGGCCGCCUGGGCGAGUACGGUCGCAAGAUUAAAACUCAAAGGAAUUGACGGGGACCCGCACAAGCGGUGGAUGAUGUGGAUUAAUUCGAUGCAGCGCGAAAAACCUUACCUACCCUUGACAUGUCCGGAAUCCUGCUGAGAGGUGGGAGUGCUCGAAAGAGAGCCGGAACACAGGUGCUGCAUGGCUGUCGUCAGCUCGUGUCGUGAGAUGUUGGGUUAAGUCCCGCAACGAGCGCAACCCUUGUCAUUAGUUGCCAUCAUUCAGUUGGGCACUCUAAUGAGACUGCCGGUGACAAACCGGAGGAAGGUGGGGAUGACGUCAAGUCCUCAUGGCCCUUAUGGGUAGGGCUUCACACGUCAUACAAUGGUCGGUACAGAGGGUUGCCAACCCGCGAGGGGGAGCUAAUCUCACAAAGCCGAUCGUAGUCCGGAUUGGAGUCUGCAACUCGACUCCAUGAAGUCGGAAUCGCUAGUAAUC
This 775-nucleotide ribosomal RNA is filed under the name uncultured Rhodocyclaceae bacterium. RNAcentral describes it as "bacterial SSU rRNA". It matches the Rfam family "Bacterial small subunit ribosomal RNA", at positions 583 to 1343 of the family's 1533-position model. The record is from RNAcentral. Lineage: Bacteria; Pseudomonadati; Pseudomonadota; Betaproteobacteria; Rhodocyclales; Rhodocyclaceae.